ACAGUCAGGCCUAAUUGGCAGAUCAUUAGGCAGUUGAGAGUCAAUUGUCAAACGAAAGGGACGUUCAUUUCGUAAGUGAAUUCAGACAGGUAUUAUUAUUUUUCAUGGAUGUGAAAGUUUGCAACAUGGUGGACAAAGAAGGCAGUAGAGCAAAAGUGAUACGAUAGGAGAUUAAGAAUGAAGAGUCAGUGUGGGGGCAUGUGGGGGCAGAGAGCAUCAACGGUAGAUAAGGACGACUGGUGGUGGACAAAGCGUGAAGCAUUUCACGCUCUUUGAAGACAGCACAAAAGCUGAGGCUUAGUAUCCCACCCGAAUUGGACGAGUGGCUUUGAUGGCUUAAGAAAAAAUGAAAGUAAAAAAAAGAAAAACUUCAAACAGUUGAGUAGAUGGGAGGAGCAUACAGAACUAUAUUACGCGAAGCUUCUUAUAUAGCAGAUUGACAUUGGCCUUAUGUAAAAUACGUCGGCGAUGCAGUGCCAACUGCCAAGUCGCUUAUCGAAAAGAGCGUUUUGCCAUCUGCGUUACUUCUUGUAUAGAACCAACGCUUUGAACAUCUUCCAAGCUCCUGGUUUCUUCUAUAACGAGAAGAGAGCGAGGCCAUGCAGAUUUGUUUCUGCCAUAAGGCCGGUGGACCUGGGCGCGGUCGAAGGGCUUUCGCAGGGGACUUUGAUGUACAGUAGUCCUAUGUCUAAGCAUGUUUGUCCUACGUACUACCUCUGAUGUGUUCUAUACAUGUCGCUAUCCUUUGAGUCUUCAAACAAUAAUAGUCCAGUCAAAUACGAAGCUCGUCUAACGAUCUGAUCCUAUUCGUCACU
This is a long non-coding RNA of Daphnia magna, 815 nucleotides long. RefSeq lists it as uncharacterized. NCBI's taxonomy places the organism in Eukaryota, Metazoa, Arthropoda, Branchiopoda, Diplostraca, Daphniidae. The record is from RefSeq and is a predicted model, not a curated record. The transcript has 3 exons.